UAGCGGGUGGCGGAAUUGGUAGACGCGCUAGACAAAAAACCUUGGUCGCAACUUGUCUGCAAAGGCUGAAGAUUCGAGGAUUAUCGGGAUCUAUUGACUGAAUAAGUCUUGCAGGUUCAAGUCCUGCCCUGCUAC
This 135-nucleotide transfer RNA is filed under the name Trichormus sp. M33_DOE_039. Its description in RNAcentral is "tRNA-OTHER". Lineage: Bacteria; Bacillati; Cyanobacteriota; Cyanophyceae; Nostocales; Nostocaceae. The record is from RNAcentral.